UUUUGUUUCCCAGAUAGAGGGUGCUUACUUGGCAGGUAACAAAAGCCUCAGCAAUUGGGACGUAUUCACUCACUUACCAGAUAGAGGGUGCUUACUUGGUAGGUAACAAAAGCCUCAGCAAUUGGGACGUAUUCACUCACUUACCAGGAAAAAUCGUGGACGGAGGCACUGGAGAUGUUGCAGAUGAUCACUACCAUCGGUACAUGGAAGAUGCAGAGUUGAUGCAUUCCUUAGGUGUAAAUUCUUAUAGAUUCUCCAUUUCAUGGUCCAGAAUCCUCCCAAGAGGUAGAUUUGGAGAAGUUGAUUCCAUUGGAAUCGAAUUUUACAACAGGCUGAUACACACAAUCUUGCUCGAAGGAAUACAACCAUUUGUCACACUGAACCAUUAUGAUAUUCCUCAAGAACUUGAAGACCGAUAUGGGUCAUGGUUGAGUCCACAAAUACAGUAGGUCUUCCCUUAUAUUUUAUUUCUUGUAAUUCAUU
Macadamia integrifolia is the source of this 483-nucleotide long non-coding RNA. RefSeq lists it as uncharacterized. The transcript is spliced from 6 exons. NCBI's taxonomy places the organism in Eukaryota, Viridiplantae, Streptophyta, Magnoliopsida, Proteales, Proteaceae. The record is from RefSeq and is a predicted model, not a curated record.